RNAcentral lists this ribosomal RNA (378 nucleotides) under uncultured eukaryote. RNAcentral's name for it is "partial 18S ribosomal RNA". It matches the Rfam family "Eukaryotic small subunit ribosomal RNA", at positions 592 to 976 of the family's 1831-position model. The record is from RNAcentral.
CAAUAGCGUAUAUUUAAGUUGUUGCAGUUAAAAAGCUCGUAGUUGGAUUUCGGGUGGGACGCAGCGGUCUCGCAUUGCGUUUGUACUGCUGCAGCCCUCCUUCUUGCCGGGGGCGGCCUCUCGGACUUCACUGUCUGGGGGUCAGAAUCGGCGAUGUUACUUUGAGUAAAUUAGAGUGUUCAAAGCAAGCUUACGCUCUGAAUAUAAUAGCAUGGGAUAACACGACAGGACUCUGGCCUAUCGUGUUGGUCUAUAGGACCAGAGUAAUGAUUAAGAGGGACAGUCGGGGGCAUUCGUAUUCCGUUGUCAGAGGUGAAAUUCUUGGAUUUACGGAAGACGAACAUCUGCGAAAGCAUUUGCCAAAGAUGUUUUCAUUGA